Molecule: transfer RNA, 73 nt
Organism: Lachnospiraceae bacterium 5_1_57FAA
Lineage: Bacteria; Bacillati; Bacillota; Clostridia; Lachnospirales; Lachnospiraceae
Rfam family: tRNA
About the family: Transfer RNA (tRNA) molecules are approximately 80 nucleotides in length.
Source: Rfam
GGGCGUGUAGCUCAGGUGGUAGAGCACUUGACUUUUAAUCAAGUUGUCCGGGGUUCGAAUCCCCGCACGCUCA